AUACGUAGGUGGCAAGCGUUGUCCGGAUUUAUUGGGCGUAAAGCGAGCGCAGGCGGUUUCUUAAGUCUGAUGUGAAAGCCCCCGGCUCAACCGGGGAGGGUACUUGGAAACUGGGAGACUUGAGUGCAGAAGAGGAGAGUGGAAUUCCAUGUGUAGCGGUGAAAUGCGGAGAUAUAUGGAGGAACACCAGUGGCGAAGGCGACUCUCUGGUCUGUAACUGACGCUGAGGCUCGAAAGCGUGGGGAGCAAACAGGAUUAGAUACCCUGGUAGUCCACGCCGUAAACGAUGAGUGCUAAGUGUUGGAGGGUUUCCGCCCUUCAGUGCUGCAGCUAACGCAUUAAGCACUCCGCCUGGGGAGUACGACCGCAAGGUUGAAACUCAAAGGAAUUGACGGGG
This 397-nucleotide ribosomal RNA is filed under the name uncultured bacterium. Its description in RNAcentral is "partial 16S ribosomal RNA". It matches the Rfam family "Bacterial small subunit ribosomal RNA", at positions 523 to 918 of the family's 1533-position model. The record is from RNAcentral.